UACGGAGGAUCCAAGCGUUGUCCGGAUUUAUUGGGUUUAAAGGGUGCGUAGGCGGCUUUGUAAGUCAGUGGUGAAAUAUGGCAGCUCAACUGUCAGGGUGCCAUUGAUACUGCAGAGCUUGAGUACAGAUGAGGUAGGCGGAAUUGACGGUGUAGCGGUGAAAUGCUUAGAUAUCGUCAAGAACACCGAUAGCGAAGGCAGCUUACUGGGCUGUAACUGACGCUGAGGCACGAAAGUGUGGGGAUCAAACAGG
This 253-nucleotide ribosomal RNA is filed under the name uncultured bacterium. Its description in RNAcentral is "partial 16S ribosomal RNA". It matches the Rfam family "Bacterial small subunit ribosomal RNA", at positions 524 to 776 of the family's 1533-position model. The record is from RNAcentral.